This 1525-nucleotide long non-coding RNA is filed under the name Equus asinus (donkey). Its description in RNAcentral is "lncRNA (ENSEASG00005030219.1)". Lineage: Eukaryota; Metazoa; Chordata; Mammalia; Perissodactyla; Equidae. The record is from RNAcentral.
GACGGAGGCCGGGAGGCAGAUGGUGGGGGGGGACAGUUUUCCAGGGAGAGCAUUCAGAACCCCUGUUGAGGGAAGGAGUGGGGCAGGCUGGUGAAGGGAGAGUCAAGGUGAAGAGCUGCUCUCGCCGGUGUCACCAUGUCUCCGAGACUCCUCGUGUCAGUUCUCAGCGCCUCCUCCUCCGGCCUGGCCUACACAUGGUGGAGCCGGGUCCCAGAGGAGAGCGAGCCGGCUGUGCCCUAGAGGCACGUCCCCUAGGAGAGGGGUCAGGAGACAAACCACGGAACACUCAGUGCUGCGCGAGGGGGCUGUGGGAACCUGGAGGAGAGGCCGUACACAGCCCAGAUUUGGGGAACCAGAGAAGGCUUCUUGGAGGAGGUGCCUUAAGCUGAGCCCCAAAGGCUGAGGAGGUAUUUUGCACAAGAGAGAGGAGGAAGUAAAGGUGUGGGGCAGUGAAAAGGUGCUCAGAGCCCUGGAGGAAAUAGGAGGCUCCCAGAACCCAGAGUGGGGAGGGGACAAUGAGAAACGAAGCUGGAGAGAAGAGCUGGCGGGCGGGGCGGCUCCCUGAGGGCCUCGGAGGCCCCGCUGAGGGGUUUCCACUCACUUCUGAGUACGCUGGCUUUCACAAGGAGGGGGAUGUUCUGCUUUUUAAGCAGCAGAACAAAAUUUCCUGUGAAAGCCCGACCUGUAAUGCAGGUGAGAGGAGAGCAGCAGCGGGGGCGGGGGGCCCAUGGCCCUGAGGGGACACCCUGGAAAAGACAGGGCUGUGGCUCUGGCCUGUUUGAGCAAGAAAGGACCUCAGAGCAGCCACCUUCAUUGCAAACUCAUCGCAAGGACGCUAGUGGGUUCCAGCAGGAAAGACCCGGCCCUCAGAGGCCCUAUAAAUACCUCUUCUUCUAAAGCAUCCUUCACGUCACAAUUCAGUGCUCAUUGAUCGAGCACCUGUGGGAGACCUUACAGUGUAGAGGUUAAGGGCACAGACCCAGGGGCCUGACUUCCUGGGCCUGCCACUUGUUAGCUGUGUGACCUUGGGCGUGUUGCUUAAUCUCUCUGAGUCUCUCUUUCUGUAUCUGCAAAAUGGGAAUGGUAGUCAUGGAACCAUUGGCUUAGUUCAGUCAAGUCAUUGAACUGUCAUGAGGAUUAAAUGAGUUAAUACAUGGAAAGUGUGGAGAAGAGUGCCUGGUGCAUAAUAAGGCUCUGUAAGGGGCACUUUCAUAGAAUAUAUCUCAUUUGAUCUCUAACAAAACUUGGCGAGGAAAGUGAGGCUCAGAGAGGUGAAGUGACUUGUACAAGGUCACACAGCAGGUCAGUGGAGGAGACAGAGGGAGUGGUCAGGUAUGGGUGACUCUGAGUCCAGUGCUCUUGGAGGGUUUUACGUGUCCCUCCUUGUUAACGCUUUGUAUGUAACUUCUGUGCAUUUAUUUGCAUCCCCAGUGCCCAGCACAGAGCCAGACAGGAGGGGGCAUUCAGUAAAGGUGUGAAUGAAUGAAUGAAUGAAAUUGGUGGAUUGAUCUGUGUGUUCCUAGCA